AUUGAACGCUGGCGGCAGGCCUAACACAUGCAAGUCGAGCGGAUGAAGGGAGCUUGCUCCUGGAUUCAGCGGCGGACGGGUGAGUAAUGCCUAGGAAUCUGCCUGGUAGUGGGGGAUAACGUCCGGAAACGGGCGCUAAUACCGCAUACGUCCUGAGGGAGAAAGUGGGGGAUCUUCGGACCUCACGCUAUCAGAUGAGCCUAGGUCGGAUUAGCUAGUUGGUGGGGUAAAGGCCUACCAAGGCGACGAUCCGUAACUGGUCUGAGAGGAUGAUCAGUCACACUGGAACUGAGACACGGUCCAGACUCCUACGGGAGGCAGCCGUGGGGAAUAUUGGACAAUGGGCGAAAGCCUGAUGCAGCCAUGCCGCGUGUGUGAAGAAGGUCUUCGGAUUGUAAAGCACUUUAAGUUGGGAGGAAGGGCAGUAAGUUAAUACCUUGCUGUUUUGACGUUACCAACAGAAUAAGCACCGGCUAACUUCGUG
This 484-nucleotide ribosomal RNA is filed under the name uncultured bacterium. Its description in RNAcentral is "partial 16S ribosomal RNA". It matches the Rfam family "Bacterial small subunit ribosomal RNA", at positions 30 to 507 of the family's 1533-position model. The record is from RNAcentral.